Molecule: long non-coding RNA, 2512 nt
Organism: Puntigrus tetrazona (Sumatra barb)
Lineage: Eukaryota; Metazoa; Chordata; Actinopteri; Cypriniformes; Cyprinidae
Exons: 3
Source: RefSeq, a predicted model, not a curated record
ACGACUCGAGAGUCUACAUCCACAUCGACGAGCGCGAUGUCUGCACGAUAAACCCGAUUCCUCCCCACCUCCAAUCGGAUUCCUUUGACUGCGUUUCCUAAAGAUUAUUUUCUCUCCGCAUCCAUCCGGGGAGUCAUUCAGAGGUUAUGAUUCCCGGGCUGCUGUUAUUGGAUAUCGCGCUCCAGUUCGGGACGCCAUUGGUCCGGAGCUUGUCAGUCUGCGGCGCGCCGGCGCUCGCGGAGCCGCCGCGCAGACAGCGCACGACACGCAAGUGGCCAGAGAGUGUCUGGAGUCUGUCUGAAACUGAUAAAAAUGGUGAUGGAGUUUAUCCAGAGUCUCGCUCACACUCGUUAGAAAAACAAAGGGAGACAGAGCGGAAUUAUACAAUCAUCCAACACUGUAGUCCGACCGUAGCUUGAAAACUAGAUCCUACCGUAGCGCAUUUCAAAGUUUUAUUCCGUGUUUCUCACCAGACAGACAGUUCAUUAAUUCACAGGCGGGAGGAUUACGUUUCUGAAGUCUUCUGAUGACCUCUCGGAGCUGUCACAGAUGCAGCCACACUUAAAGGUGAUACCUGUGUUCUGCGCUUACGCUGCCGUGCUGACGGAUAGUGAAGAGGAACAGAGCUGAUGUGUCUGCAGAGAUGAUACAGGUAGUAAUAUUAAUGUGAUUGUACGUAUAUAUCUUUUUACUGCGUUAUUCUCUCCCUCACUUUCUAUAAAGUGCUGUUCUUUGCUCUUACUUUCUUUCUCUGGCUAUUUCCAUCAUCACUGAAGCAGAACAGCUUUUACUUGCCAUCAUACGAUAAAUACAUAUAUAAUAUUAACUGUUUUUGCUUAAGUUAAUGCUACAGUAACCGCUGCUUUCUUUGUCAAAUGACAAUAAUACCAUGUUAGAAUCGUUCUUAAUGUCAGAUGUUCGUUCAUGCUUGUUUAAUUGGCAAAAUGUCUUCUUUAAAUAUAAAUCACUUGUCAUUUUAUUUUAAUAAACAUGAUCUUUAUGUAUUAUCCGAAUGAAUAUAUCAAGAUUGAGCCUCAAGUUAGAUACAUGAGUAUUUUGUCUGUACUCCAAGUCCUUUUAUUAUUACGUAAAGGCUCAUCCAUAUGCUGCAGAAAUAAAGCUUUUUAAUGAGCACAACUCACCACAACAGUAAAUGCAAAUGAAUUGCACUCUACUGAUUUUAUCAUUUAUAUUUGUAGCGAGUGCUUGUAGUGAAAAAGGAAAUAUACGAGCAUUGAGUUUACGGUUUUAAUGCAUUGAAACUAAGUUUAAACAUGUACUGACGUGUUUUUUUAAUAUCAGGAAGGAGAUAGCAUACACACAUCAUUCACUUAAAAUUUGUAGACCUUUAACUGAAUAGAAUGUUUUAAAUGGUUAUUUUGUCCUGUUCAUGGUUAGUUGGAGUCACGGCCAAUUAUGUCUCCAAAUGUCGUACAGUAUAAGGUCAAAAGUCGCUGUGCUGUAUUAGAAAGAUGACAGUAACCAUUCUGGAAAGGUCAGCCACUCAGUUUGUUUCCAAAGGCGAGGUGCCACAGUGACGCCUUUGAGCUUUUGAUUUACUUUAUAUUAGAUUUAGUUAAUGAUAUGUCUUGCUGUUUAAUGACGGACGUAAACUUCUACAUCCAAAUGCUCUGGCCUCAUUUUCAUUGAGUUUUUGAGUAAAUGGUUAAUUAGUUUUGUUGUGGGGUUAUUUUACUCAGAAUCUUGUAGUGCUGCGCUUUUCUGAACAGACUUUAAAUGUAACCCUCGCUAGCUCACUUAAAAGAUUGUAACGUGCGAGUGCACUACGUUAAAUGUGAACAUGUUUGUAACAUUACUUUCAUUUUAACUUUGUUUUUUAAAAACAAUACAUUUGGUUAUUUAUUUAUUUUUUGGGAAAAGAAAGUUAACGAGUAUUUUCAGCGCUGCUCUUUUAUUAAUACCAAAUCUAAAGACUGCAUUUAUUUAACCAAAAAUACAGUAAAGAGACUCAUUCCAUGUGAUGUCUUCGGUGUCACGUGAUUUUUAAGAAAUCAUUCUGUUUAUUUGCUUUUUAUGAAACAUCCUCUUACUAUUAUCAAUGUUGAAAAAUGUAGUUGUGUUGCUUUAAUAUUUUUGUGGAAACCAACGAAUAAAAUGUUUAGAAGAACUUAUUUUAAGAAAUCAUUUGUAAUUUUAUGUGUAACAUUUCUUUGCUGUCACUUGUCCAUUUAAUGCAUCUUUUGCUGAAUAAGUGUUUUUUUUCCCUGCUGAACCACAGCUUUUCAACCGUAGUGUAAUAGAUAAUUACAUAGAUAGGUAGUUACUUAGUGUAAUAGAUAGUUAAUAGCAAUUGAAAAAAACUUUUUAGGGGACAGCUAAAAACUCUAUUUUGUGGUCUCCAUGAAGUUAUUUUAAACUUUAGAGUUAUUAAUAUUUAUUUAACUCUGAAAUCAAUGUUAAUGGGUGCACUUGCCAGUCACUGCCACAACUUCAGUGACUGGCACUUGUACCUUACAUGCUCAUUAAAAUUUCUCAUUAGGCUUUUUUUUUU